AACCGCGGUUAUACGAGAGGCCCAAAUUGAUACAUCACGGCGUAAAGUGUGAUUAGAGACAAACCUAAAAUAGAACCAAAUACCCCUUAUGCUGUCAUACGCCAUGGGGGUCACGAAGACCAACAGCGAAAGUGGCUCUAUAAAUCUUGAACUCACGACAGCUAAGACA
RNAcentral lists this ribosomal RNA (169 nucleotides) under Gymnothorax tile. RNAcentral's name for it is "partial 12S rRNA". Lineage: Eukaryota; Metazoa; Chordata; Actinopteri; Anguilliformes; Muraenidae. The record is from RNAcentral.